AUUGAACGCUGGCGGCAGGCCUAACACAUGCAAGUCGAGCGGAUGAAGGGAGCUUGCUCCUGGAUUCAGCGGCGGACGGGUGAGUAAUGCCUAGGAAUCUGCCUGGUAGUGGGGGAUAACGUCCGGAAACGGGCGCUAAUACCGCAUACGUCCUGAGGGAGAAAGUGGGGGAUCUUCGGACCUCACGCUAUCAGAUGAGCCUAGGUCGGAUUAGCUAGUUGGUGGGGUAAAGGCCUACCAAGGCGACGAUCCGUAACUGGUCUGAGAGGAUGAUCAGUCACACGGGAACUGAGACACGGUCCAGACUCCUACGGGAGGCAGCAGUGGGGAAUAUUGGACAAUGGGCGAAAGCCUGAUCCAGCCAUGCCGCGUGUGUGAAGAAGGUCUUCGGAUUGUAAAACACUUUAAGUUGGGAGGAAGGGCAGUAAGUUAAUACCUUGCUGUUUUGACGUUACCAACAGAAUAAGCACCGGCUAACUUCGUG
This 484-nucleotide ribosomal RNA is filed under the name uncultured bacterium. RNAcentral's name for it is "partial 16S ribosomal RNA". It matches the Rfam family "Bacterial small subunit ribosomal RNA", at positions 30 to 507 of the family's 1533-position model. The record is from RNAcentral.